RNAcentral lists this ribosomal RNA (253 nucleotides) under uncultured bacterium. Its description in RNAcentral is "partial 16S ribosomal RNA". It matches the Rfam family "Bacterial small subunit ribosomal RNA", at positions 524 to 776 of the family's 1533-position model. The record is from RNAcentral.
UACGUAGGGGGCAAGCGUUAUCCGGAUUUACUGGGUGUAAAGGGAGCGUAGACGGCUUUGCAAGCCAGAUGUGAAAGCCCGGGGCUCAACCCCGGGACUGCAUUUGGAACUGUGUGGCUAGAGUGUCGGAGAGGCAGGCGGAAUUCCUAGUGUAGCGGUGAAAUGCGUAGAUACUAGGAGGAACACCAGUGGCGAAGGCGGCCUGCUGGACGAUGACUGACGUUGAGGCUCGAAAGCGUGGGGAGCAAACAGG